RNAcentral lists this ribosomal RNA (528 nucleotides) under uncultured bacterium. RNAcentral describes it as "bacterial SSU rRNA". It matches the Rfam family "Bacterial small subunit ribosomal RNA", at positions 355 to 896 of the family's 1533-position model. The record is from RNAcentral.
UGGGGAAUUUUACGCAAUGGGCGAAAGCCUGACGUAGCGACACCGCGUGAGCGAAGAAGCCCCUUGGGGUGUAAAGCUCUGUCAGCUGGAACGAAAAAAAUGACGGUACCAGCAGAGGAAGCAUCGGCUAACUACGUGCCAGCAGCCGCGGUAAGACGUAGGAUGCAAGCGUUGUCCGGAUUUAUUGGGCGUAAAGAGUUCGUAGGUGGUUUGUUAAGUUUGGUGUUAAAGAUUGGGGCUCAACCCUGAAACUGCACUGAAUACUGGCAGACUCGAGUGUGGUAGAGGCUAGUGGAAUUCCCAGUGUAGCGGUGAAAUGCGUAGAUAUUGGGAAGAACACCGGUGGCGUAGGCGACUAGCUGGGCCAUAACUGACACUGAGGAACGAAAGCCAGGGGAGCGAAUGGGAUUAGAUACCCCAGUAGUCCUGGCCGUAAACGAUAGAUACUAGGCGUAUCGGGUAUCGACCCCUGAUGUGCCGCAGCUAACGCGAUAAGUAUCCCGCCUGAGUAGUACGGCCGCAAGGUUG